UGGGGAAUAUUGGGCAAUGGGCGCAAGCCUGACCCAGCAACGCCGCGUGAAGGAAGAAGGUCUUCGGAUUGUAAACUUCUGUCAUUGGGGACGAAGGAAGUGACGGUACCCAAUGAGGAAGCCCCGGCUAACUACGUGCCAGCAGCCGCGGUAAUACGUAGGGGGCGAGCGUUGUCCGGAAUUACUGGGCGUAAAGGGUGCGUAGGCGGCGAUGCAAGUCCAUUGUGAAAAGCCCGGGCUUAACCUGGGAGGUGCAGUGGAAACUGCAAGGCUUGAGUGCAGGAGAGGAAGGUGGAAUUCCUAGUGUAGCGGUGAAAUGCGUAGAUAUUAGGAGGAACACCAGUGGCGAAGGCGGCUUUCUGGACUGUAACUGACGCUGAGGCACGAAAGCGUGGGGAGCAAACAG
RNAcentral lists this ribosomal RNA (406 nucleotides) under uncultured bacterium. Its description in RNAcentral is "bacterial SSU rRNA". It matches the Rfam family "Bacterial small subunit ribosomal RNA", at positions 355 to 775 of the family's 1533-position model. The record is from RNAcentral.